UUCAAAGUGGAAAUCACAUCAGCACAACACUUCACAAAAUAAUUCCAUAAAAAAACAUCCCAAGAUGCAUUAGCACUAUUUGACUAUUGUAGCACAAAUGAAUCACAUUUCAUUGAGAGAGUUAAAAAAACAAACAAACAAAAAACGCCUGCUUCCUCUCGUGUAGCCAAAAAGAGGAUUUAGAGAUUUAGUUACAAAAAAGUGACCUCAUCUCAUUCGCCACACGCACACGCAGACGCACACACACGUGUGCACGAGGAGGGUGAAGACGUUCACGAGUCAGGAGAACGAGCUGCAAGAUUCCAACGCAGAGGAAAAGGUUUUGUUUUGGAUCUUCACAAGUCGGAUUUCUUUCAACACACCAGCUUUCACCUGAGCAGAGGGUUCUUCAUCUUCUUCUUCUUCUUCUUCUUCUUGGAACGAACUGCAGCACACACUCAGGAGGCUGCCGAAAAACAAAGGGAUGCAAUUAAACACAGCUGAUCAACAAGGAGGCAAAGUGGGGACGCAGGACGACAAAGUGGAGGUCAAAUAAAAGGGAGGUCGCCACACACACAAACGUGGCCUCUGUUAUGAACUGAGGUAUAUAAGGGAGCGGGUAAAAAUAAAUGUUUACCAAUGAAGACGUCUGUGUGCCUCCUGCGUGCACAUGGAGGUGCGUACACGGCGUGCUAAAAGCUGCCCUGCAGACCAGACCUGUGGAAUCUUCAAAGUGGAGGAUUUGUUCAGGCUUAUUUGGCAACCUGGGAUUUGAAUUAGAUUUUGGGAGGCAUUCAUAACACAUUAGAAAACCUUACAAUGUGUGAUUUCAUGUCUAAUCCCCUUAUAGUCCUUUUUUUAUAAGGGGGAGUAUGGUCACAACAUAGCGCGGCUAUUCAUGAUUCAUCAAAUGUUUUUCUUUUUUUUGCCUGUGAGGUGAGUGUCUUCUCCUGAAGAGGUGACUCUUCUCUUGAACCUUCCUCUCCUCACCAUUUUGUUGGUUUGACCUGAAUAUGUGAUAGGGUCAGCUCCACCGUGACACCCCCUGCUUACAACCCUCAGUGGAUUAGACCUUUCUACAUGUGCGGACGCCCACUUUGCUUUGAAUGACACUUUGGCGAUGCCCCCAACAUCCCACUUGGACUUCUCAAGUGUAGCAACACUGCCAAAUCCUCUCAACUCUUUAAUAUCUCUCUUUGGCUGCAUUGCCAGGCAAGGCCCCUCCGUGACAGUUGGACAUCGUCGUCGCUUUCGGGAGGAGACAGCGGCGGCCGUUUGUAGCGUUUCCCAGCCUCGGGCCUGUGGGGACUCUGUGAUGGCUCGCCUGUCAGCCGGCCCCUCCCCUGCAAUUAGGAGAGUAAACACAGCGCCCGGCUUGACAUGGG
Long non-coding RNA from Entelurus aequoreus (snake pipefish), 1364 nucleotides. RefSeq lists it as uncharacterized. The record is from RefSeq and is a predicted model, not a curated record. Lineage: Eukaryota; Metazoa; Chordata; Actinopteri; Syngnathiformes; Syngnathidae. The transcript has 4 exons.